CAGUCCUUACGGGCGGGAUAAAUGUUGGAGACUACAAUGCAAACUUCAUACCCUUACAUGCAGGGCGGGAACCUCCAAACGACGGGAUUCCGUCGUAUUCUGAGAAUAAUAAGGAUGGUACGACUAAGCUACGAGAUGAUACUCAAGAUGACAAAACUUCCGAGCAGCAUGCAACAGUAGCUGUAUUUAAUGAAGAAAAAAAAAUGUUGGCGAAACAAGGGAGCAGUUCAACGCACUGAGGCGUGAAUCUUAUCGGAAGAAAAAAGAGGAGGAUAUGGUCAGGUUACAAGAGUAUAAUCAGCCAUCCCUUUCAAAGACUGACCAUAGGGAUCUUAUCAACGCGUGGAGGCGGGCAUCUUAUCGCACUAAGAAGUCAGAUGGUUUUAUAAACCAUCUAGACGAUGGACCGAUUGUUCACCGUCGUACUCUAUGUGAUAUCACAAAUGUUCAACAACCUUCAU
This is a long non-coding RNA of Triticum aestivum (bread wheat), 461 nucleotides long. RefSeq lists it as uncharacterized. The record is from RefSeq and is a predicted model, not a curated record. The transcript has 4 exons. NCBI's taxonomy places the organism in Eukaryota, Viridiplantae, Streptophyta, Magnoliopsida, Poales, Poaceae.